This 474-nucleotide ribosomal RNA is filed under the name uncultured organism. RNAcentral describes it as "partial 16S ribosomal RNA". It matches the Rfam family "Bacterial small subunit ribosomal RNA", at positions 335 to 800 of the family's 1533-position model. The record is from RNAcentral.
ACUCCUACGGGAGGCAGCAGUGGGGAAUUUUGGACAAUGGGCGAAAGCCUGAUCCAGCAAUGCCGCGUGUGUGAAGAAGGCCUUCGGGUUGUAAAGCACUUUUGUCCGGAAAGAAAUCCUUGGCUCUAAUACAGUCGGGGGAUGACGGUACCGGAAGAAUAAGCACCGGCUAACUACGUGCCAGCAGCCGCGGUAAUACGUAGGGUGCGAGCGUUAAUCGGAAUUACUGGGCGUAAAGCGUGCGCAGGCGGUUUGCUAAGACCGAUGUGAAAUCCCCGGGCUCAACCUGGGAACUGCAUUGGUGACUGGCAGGCUAGAGUAUGGCAGAGGGGGGUAGAAUUCCACGUGUAGCAGUGAAAUGCGUAGAGAUGUGGAGGAAUACCGAUGGCGAAGGCAGCCCCCUGGGCCAAUACUGACGCUCAUGCACGAAAGCGUGGGGAGCAAACAGGAUUAGAAACCCUGGUAGUCCCAUGA